UUAAACAAGCCUCUAGUCCAUCAAGUUUUGUUGGUCUGUGGACAAUGCCUAAGAAAUGUCUCCAUCCCUUUCCUGGAACCAGAGCAGAAUCAAUGCAAAAGGAAUCUUUUCCUUCCCCGGGAUCCCGUGAGUCCUGUGUGGAACCUGGAAAUAGUAAUGGCAUCUAUGUCAAAGUGUGGCUGUGAGGAUUGGACUAGAUAAUGCAUGUAAAGACUCAAAACUUUGCCUGGCCUCUCGAAGGCUCUUAACAAGUAUUAUCUGUUAUUAUGAUGCAGCCUUUUAUACAUAUUGAUUCCUGAGGUACCAACAAGCCACUAACAUCUUCCAUCCCUACAAUGCAAGAAGGCCAACAAGAAUGUGGUGGGACAGCCCCUGGCUGGCACAGGCAGUGAACUUCUUCCAGACAUCAAGGGUUCCGCCAAAGAAACUUCUCUGCUUUCAAGGAUUCAUAGGAUUAGAUUGGUGUCAUGCAAAUAAUCCAGGAUGAUCCCCCUACCUUAAGUUAUUAAAAGAAAUAGAAGAUCUGAUCCACAGAAACACUGUGAUUGUCGCAGGGAAGCAUAUCCUAGAGGGCAUGCAGGCUAUUGAUAUUCUCUCCUCAAGCCGGCAACUCUCUGGAGAUCCAUGAGAAACACAGAAUCACAACAAAGACUGGAAAACAAAUGGAUGGAAUCAGAGACGGUUGCAGACACGUAAAUAGCUUUUCACGCUG
This is a long non-coding RNA of Neofelis nebulosa (Clouded leopard), 712 nucleotides long. RefSeq lists it as uncharacterized. The record is from RefSeq and is a predicted model, not a curated record. The transcript has 4 exons. Lineage: Eukaryota; Metazoa; Chordata; Mammalia; Carnivora; Felidae.